Molecule: antisense RNA, 69 nt
Filed under: Micromonospora echinofusca
Lineage: Bacteria; Bacillati; Actinomycetota; Actinomycetes; Micromonosporales; Micromonosporaceae
Description: ASpks TB sRNA
Rfam family: ASpks TB sRNA
Source: Rfam by way of RNAcentral
CUUGACCGAACCGAGCAGCACCGGUGCCGCGCGCUCCUGGCCGUACGUGGCGAGGACGGCCUGCGCCUC